RNAcentral lists this ribosomal RNA (507 nucleotides) under uncultured organism. RNAcentral describes it as "bacterial SSU rRNA". It matches the Rfam family "Bacterial small subunit ribosomal RNA", at positions 29 to 507 of the family's 1533-position model. The record is from RNAcentral.
AACGAACGCUGGCGGCGUGGAUAAGACAUGCAAGUCGGACGCUUGUAUUUUUGUAGCAAUAUGAGGAUACGGGAGUGGCGAAAGGGUGCGUAACACGUGGGUAAUUUGUCCAAGAGUUCAGGAUAAUUCGCUGAAAGGCGGAGUAAUACUGGAUGUGGAUAUUGACUGGGAACAGUUGAUUUCUAAAGCCGGGGACCGCAAGGCCUGGUGCUCAUGGGUAAGCCCGCGACCUAUCAGCUAGUUGGUGAGGUAAGAGCCCACCAAGGCGGAGACGGGUAGCUGGUCUGAGAGGACGACCAGCCACACUGGAACUGAGACACGGUCCAGACACCUACGGGUGGCAGCAGUCGAGAAUUUUUCUCAAUGGGGGAAACCCUGAAGGAGCGACGCCGCGUGGGGGAUGAAGGGCUUCGGCUCGUAAACCCCUGUCAUUUGUGAGCAAGUGUUAUUGUUUAAGAGAUGAUGACAUUGAUAGUAGCAAAAGAGGAAGGGACGGCUAACUCUGUG